AACGCACAUUGCGCCCGCCAGUAUUCUGGCGGGCAUGCCUGUUCGAGCGUCAUUUCAACCAUCAAGCCCCAGGCUUGUGUUGGGGGCCUGCGGCUGCCGCAGCCCCCUAAAAGCAGUGGCGGGCUCGCUGUCAUUCCGAGCGCAGUAGUUAUAUCUCGCUCUGGGCGUGGCGGUGGGCACCUGCCGUGAAACACUCUUUCUAAGGUUGACCUCGGAUCAGGUAGGAAUACCCGCUGAACUUAA
This 243-nucleotide unclassified non-coding RNA is filed under the name uncultured Ascomycota. Its description in RNAcentral is "sequence contains 5.8S rRNA gene, ITS2, 28S rRNA gene". The stretch from base 1 to 52 matches the Rfam family "5.8S ribosomal RNA", at positions 103 to 154 of the family's 154-position model. The record is from RNAcentral. Lineage: Eukaryota; Fungi; Ascomycota.